GCUAAUUUGGCAGAAAAGUGUUUUAAACUUAGAAUUUAAUAAUGUAUAAUAUACAGUUAGUA
This 62-nucleotide transfer RNA is filed under the name Nilaparvata lugens (brown planthopper). RNAcentral describes it as "tRNA-Leu". RNAcentral also lists the same sequence under 2 other names. Lineage: Eukaryota; Metazoa; Arthropoda; Insecta; Hemiptera; Delphacidae. The record is from RNAcentral.